GUGCUCACUUCAGCACCAUAUAAACUAAAAUGGAAAUUUAGAAAAGGUCAUCAUGGCUCCUACACAAAGAUGACACCCAAAUUCAUGAAAUUUUCAACACUUUC
This is a small nuclear RNA of Dromiciops gliroides (monito del monte), 104 nucleotides long. Lineage: Eukaryota; Metazoa; Chordata; Mammalia; Microbiotheria; Microbiotheriidae. The record is from RefSeq and is a predicted model, not a curated record.